Molecule: ribosomal RNA, 503 nt
Filed under: uncultured bacterium
Lineage: Bacteria
Description: partial 16S ribosomal RNA
Rfam family: Bacterial small subunit ribosomal RNA
Source: RNAcentral
AUUGAACGCUGGCGGCAGGCUUAACACAUGCAAGUCGAGCGGAGUGAUGGUGCUUGCACUAUCACUUAGCGGCGGACGGGUGAGUAAUGCUUAGGAAUCUGCCUAUUAGUGGGGGACAACAUCUCGAAAGGGAUGCUAAUACCGCAUACGUCCUACGGGAGAAAGCAGGGGACCACUUGUGACCUUGCGCUAAUAGAUGAGCCUAAGUCGGAAUAGCUAGUUGGGGGGGUAAAGGCCUACCAAGGCGACGAUCUGUAGCGGGUCUGAGAGGAUGAUCCGCCACACUGGGACUGAGACACGGCCCAGACUCCUACGGGAGGCAGCAGUGGGGAAUAUUGGACAAUGGGGGGAACCCUGAUCCAGCCAUGCCGCGUGUGUGAAGAAGGCCUUAUGGUUGUAAAGCACUUUAAGCGAGGAGGAGGCUCUUUUGGUUAAUACCCAAGAUGAGUGGACGUUACUCGCAGAAUAAGCACCGGCUAACUCUGUGCCAGCCGCCGCGGUAA